This 300-nucleotide ribosomal RNA is filed under the name uncultured bacterium. RNAcentral describes it as "bacterial SSU rRNA". It matches the Rfam family "Bacterial small subunit ribosomal RNA", at positions 115 to 427 of the family's 1533-position model. The record is from RNAcentral.
ACGUGGGAACAUACCCUUUGGUUCGGAACAACGUUUGGAAACGACGCUAAUACCGGAUACGCCCUUUUCGGGUAAAGGGACGUCGCUGCCGAAGGAUUGGCCCGCCGUUCGAUUAGCUAGAUGGUGGGGUAACGGGCCCACCCAUGGCGACGAUCGAUAGCUGGUCUGAGAGGAUGGCCAGCCACAUUGGGACUGAGACACGGCCCAAACUCCUACGGGAGGCAGCAGUGGGGAAUAUUGCACAAUGGAGGAAACUCUGAUGCAGCCAUGCCGCGUGUAUGAAGAAGGCCUUCGGUUGUA